Bemisia tabaci is the source of this 322-nucleotide long non-coding RNA. RefSeq lists it as uncharacterized. NCBI's taxonomy places the organism in Eukaryota, Metazoa, Arthropoda, Insecta, Hemiptera, Aleyrodidae. The record is from RefSeq and is a predicted model, not a curated record.
GAAUGUGGCAAUGCUGAACGCAUCUAGGUCGUUUCGAUCAAAUUUUUCUACCUGCUCUUUUCAUUCCUGUUGGAGGUGAUGUGUUCUUAUCAAUAGACCACUAAACAAGAUGUUUUUCAAAUACUGGAUCAUCUUCAAUGCAACAUGUCGCACCGAAGUCUGCAAAAAUUUUGAUCUAUUGACAUGCAGAUACAGUAAAUUAUAUAAAUGAAGGAAACAUGAAAUUACCGAUAAAGAUUGUAAAGCGGCAAGGUAAAGAAUGGCCAAAUCUUCCUCAGUGCUGGAGAGGGUGAGACCGCAUAUCUGCAAUGAAAGAAUCAAA